GACGAACGCUGGCGGCGUGCUUAACACAUGCAAGUCGAACGGUGAAGCGCCUUCCUUUUUGGUGGGUGUGGAUGAGUGGCGAACGGGUGAGUAACACGUGAGUAACCUGCCCCCUUCUUCUGGAUAACCGCAUGAAAGUGUGGCUAAUACGGGAUAUUCUGGGUCUGUCGCAUGAUGGGUCUGGGAAAGAUAUUGUUUCGGUGGGGGAUGGGCUCGCGGCCUAUCAGCUUGUUGGUGGGGUGAUGGCCUACCAAGGCGGUGACGGGUAGCCGGCCUGAGAGGGUGGACGGUCACACUGGGACUGAGACACGGCCAAGACUCCUACGGGAGGCAGCAGUGGGGAAUAUUGCACAAUGGGAGCAAGCCUGAUGCAGCGACGCCGCGUGAGGGAUGGAGGCCUUCGGGUUGUGAACCUCUUUCGCCAGUGAAGCAGGCCUGCCUCGUUUGUGGGUGGGUUGACGGUAGCUGGAUAAGAAGCGCCGGCUAACUACGUG
This 494-nucleotide ribosomal RNA is filed under the name uncultured bacterium. Its description in RNAcentral is "partial 16S ribosomal RNA". It matches the Rfam family "Bacterial small subunit ribosomal RNA", at positions 28 to 507 of the family's 1533-position model. The record is from RNAcentral.